This 253-nucleotide ribosomal RNA is filed under the name uncultured bacterium. Its description in RNAcentral is "partial 16S ribosomal RNA". It matches the Rfam family "Bacterial small subunit ribosomal RNA", at positions 524 to 776 of the family's 1533-position model. The record is from RNAcentral.
UACGAAGGGGGCUAGCGUUGUUCGGAAUCACUGGGCGUAAAGGGCGCGUAGGCGGCUUUAUAAGUCGGGGGUGAAAGCCUGUGGCUCAACCACAGAAUUGCCUUCGAUACUGUAGAGCUUGAGACCGGAAGAGGUAAGUGGAACUGCGAGUGUAGAGGUGAAAUUCGUAGAUAUCGGGAGGAACACCAGUGGCGAAGGCGGCGACCUGGACCAAUAUUGACGCUGAGGUGCGAAAGCAUGGGGAGCAAACAGG